UCCCUCUGGCCACACCAAAGAGCACUUAACAUGCCAUGAUGGUCUCAGGGCAAAAGUAUAUUAAAUACUUGACAGUUAUGUGGCCUCUAGCUUUCCAGAAGAGAGGAAGUCACUGUCAUCAUAUAGUGCUUUGAUUUGAGAAGCUGAACUGAUGUCUGUGGAGACGAGAACACGAAGGAAUAAUGUAAUAUGGAACUCCCUAACAUGAUAUACCUACAAAGACUAUUGAGGCAGAGAAAUCAAUGUGGAAAAUGCAAAACUAAGGGAGAAAGCACUUUGAAACACUCAUCUAAGAAUAUGUUCCAUAUCAAAAACACAAGAAUUCCAGAAAAAUCUUCCAAGUUAUGUUCAUAGGCUUAGCAGAAUAAAGGUCAGGCUUACUAGUUAAA
Molecule: long non-coding RNA, 389 nt
Organism: Rhinopithecus roxellana (golden snub-nosed monkey)
Lineage: Eukaryota; Metazoa; Chordata; Mammalia; Primates; Cercopithecidae
Exons: 3
Source: RefSeq, a predicted model, not a curated record